UCGAACGGUAACAUAGCUAGCUUGCUAGCUGAUGACGAGUGGCGGACGGGUGAGUAACGCGUAGGAAUCUACCUAUUAGUGGGGGACAACCUGGUGAAAACCAGGCUAAUACCGCAUACGCCCUACGGGGGAAAGCAGGGGAUCUUCGGACCUUGCGCUAUUAGAUGAGCCUGCGUUAGAUUAGCUUGUUGGUGAGGUAAUGGCUCACCAAGGCGACGAUCUAUAGCUGGUCUGAGAGGAUGAUCAGCCACACUGGGACUGAGACACGGCCCAGACUCCUACGGGAGGCAGCAGUGGGGAAUAUUGCGCAAUGGGCGAAAGCCUGACGCAGCCAUACCGCGUGUGUGAAGAAGGGUUUAGGCUCGUAAAGCACUUUAAGUAGGGAGGAAGGCCUGUAAAUUAAUACUUUGCAGGAUUGACGUUACCUACAGAAUAAGCACCGGCUAACUCCGUGCCAGCAGCCGCGGUAAUACGGAGGGUGCAAGCGUUAAUCGGAAUUACUGGGCGUAAAGCGCGCGUAGGCGGUUUGUUAAGCGAGAUGUGAAAGCCCAGGGCUCAACCUUGGAACUGCAUUUCGAACUGGCAGGCUAGAGUACAAGAGAGGGUGGUAGAAUUUCCUGUGUAGCGGUGAAAUGCGUAGAUAUAGGAAGGAAUACCAGUGGCGAAGGCGGCCACCUGGCUUGAUACUGACGCUGAGGUGCGAAAGCGUGGGGAGCGAACAGGAUUAGAUACCCUGGUAGUCCACGCCGUAAACGAUGUCACCUAGCCG
RNAcentral lists this ribosomal RNA (769 nucleotides) under uncultured Gammaproteobacteria bacterium. Its description in RNAcentral is "bacterial SSU rRNA". It matches the Rfam family "Bacterial small subunit ribosomal RNA", at positions 62 to 822 of the family's 1533-position model. Lineage: Bacteria; Pseudomonadati; Pseudomonadota; Gammaproteobacteria. The record is from RNAcentral.